RNAcentral lists this long non-coding RNA (958 nucleotides) under Homo sapiens (human). RNAcentral's name for it is "HSALNT0145839". The record is from RNAcentral. Lineage: Eukaryota; Metazoa; Chordata; Mammalia; Primates; Hominidae.
CCAGGGCUAUUAAGCUUUUAAUUGGAAAAUAGCAGAGGAAAUUUCAAGGUGACUAUAACGUGUUAGCAGUUAGUGCAGAGAAGAAAAGCCGAAGCGGGAAUGAAUGUAGAAAGCAUAUGGUCCAAAUCACAUUUAGGAGGAGCGGCCUGCUUCUACUAAGUCCCAGUAGCUUACACACUUAUGGGAAAAAUCAUCAAAGAAAUGGGAAAGGGAAGGGGGAGGAUUACAAGUAAAUGUAACCUCACUAGACUAGAUCCAUUGGUGCUCUCCUGUGGAUGGUGUGUUCUCAAACCGCAAUUAACUGAGUAGAAUUCUGGCAGAUAAUCGUGGAAGAGGAAAAAACAAUGUGCGUAUGUGGGUCUUUCUCGGCACACACAAUCGCUGGGUGUGUGUACAUGUAAAAGCUCAGGAUGCAGGUGCCCUUGCUGAGAAAGUGAGGACUCCAGAUCUGGGAGUCCUGGUAUGUGCUCCUCAUCCCAACUAAUACUCAAUCAAAACGGCAGUUUCCGAUUGUCCCGGAUGUAUAACACAUCAGCAAAUUCUCUGCUGGAUUCUCAUGGAAGGGGAGGUCAGGGUUCCUAUUUCACUGUUUUCAUCGCGACCACGAUGAUGUCAGUGCAGGCAGACGCUGGAAGCCUGAGCGUGAGGAACCCCUGUGAAAACAGAAAAACUUGUCCCCUCUUCCUGUGCGUGAACUACUCAGCUCUCACCUGGUCAGCUUCUCGACCUCGCUCUUCGGCCCGCUUCAAAUUGAAAGGAGUUGGGGGAAUGUCCAGCCAGGCAGUGGGGCAUCCAGCAAUCAAUUUCUUUAGAUGGCAAUAAUGUCUUGGUUCUCCCUCAGUUGGCUGGGGACAGACUCAUGCAAACCCCCCAUGAGAUCCCCGAAGCCGCCCUCCGGGGCGAGGGGUGGAAAAGACGGGUCGCAGCCUGAGGCCUGCUCCAGAUCCCCACGUGCCGA